This is a non-coding RNA of Solenopsis invicta (red fire ant), 118 nucleotides long. NCBI's taxonomy places the organism in Eukaryota, Metazoa, Arthropoda, Insecta, Hymenoptera, Formicidae. The record is from Rfam.
GGCAACGUUCAGACCACGUUGACAUACCAGUUCUCGUCCGAUCACUGAAGUCAAGCAACGUUGGGCACGGUUAGUACUUGGAUGGGUGACCGCUUGGGAACACCGUGUGAUGUUGUCC